Molecule: small RNA, 289 nt
Filed under: Teichococcus deserti
Lineage: Bacteria; Pseudomonadati; Pseudomonadota; Alphaproteobacteria; Acetobacterales; Roseomonadaceae
Description: Roseomonas deserti 5' ureB small RNA
Rfam family: 5' ureB small RNA
Source: Rfam by way of RNAcentral
CUUCCUCGAUCUGCUGCGGGCAGAUGAAAUGGAUAUGCGGGUCGAUGCCGCCCGCCGUCAGGAUUUUUCCCUCGCCGGCGAUGAUCUCGGUGCCCGGGCCGAUGACGAUGGUGACGCCCGGCUGGGUGUCGGGGUUGCCGGCCUUGCCGAUGGCGGCGAUGCGGCCGUCCUUCAGCCCGAUAUCGGCCUUCACGAUGCCGGAAUGGUCGAUCACCACGGCAUUGGUGAUCACCGUGUCCAUGGCGCCGCCGGCACGGCUGACCUGGCUCUGGCCCAUGCCGUCGCGGAU